AAAUAAUUGUAAUAAAAUUGUCAGAUGAGCCGGGACAGCCUUCCUCCUCUGCCCAGCCGCCACAGUGACCUCGGUUCAAGUUUGUACUGGAAACCACCACCAGCAGCAGCAGCAGUAGGGACAAAUAGAGAUUGCAUCAGAUCUGCCAUUGUGUGGUUGUCACCUCAGCAGAGUAGUUUUGAUAGGACCUAUGUAUAUGUAGUUUUUGUAUUUUGAUCAUUGUAUAUAAG
This 230-nucleotide unclassified non-coding RNA is filed under the name Hevea brasiliensis (rubber tree). Lineage: Eukaryota; Viridiplantae; Streptophyta; Magnoliopsida; Malpighiales; Euphorbiaceae. The record is from RNAcentral.